UACGGAAGGCAGCAGUGGGGAAUAUUGCACAAUGGGCGAAAGCCUGAUGCAGCUAUGCCGCGUGUAUGAAGAAGGCCUUAGGGUUGUAAAGUACUUUCAUCGGGGAGGAAAAAACAAAACUAAUAAUUUUAUUUCUUGACGUUACCCGAAAAAGAAGCACCGGCUAACUCCGUGCCAGCAGCCGCGGUAAUACGGAGGGUGCUAGCGUUAAUCAGAAUUACUGGGCGUAAAGAGCACGUAGGUGGUUUUUUUAAGUCAGAUGUGAAAUCCCUGGGCUUAACCUGGAACUGCAUUUUGAAACUGAAAUACUAGAGUAUCGUAGAGGGAGGUAGAAUUCUAGGUGUAGCGGUGAAAUGCGUAGAUAUCUGGAGGAAUACCUGUGGCGAAAGCGGCCUCCUAAACGAAUACUGACACUGAGGUGCGAAAGCGUGGGGAGCGAAACAGGGAUUUAGAUACCCGU
This 460-nucleotide ribosomal RNA is filed under the name uncultured bacterium. RNAcentral's name for it is "bacterial SSU rRNA". It matches the Rfam family "Bacterial small subunit ribosomal RNA", at positions 340 to 789 of the family's 1533-position model. The record is from RNAcentral.